UACAGAGGUCCCAAGCGUUGUUCGGAUUCACUGGGCGUAAAGGGUGCGUAGGCGGCGCGGUAAGUCGGGUGUGAAAUCUUGGGGCUUAACUCCGAAACUGCAUUCGAUACUGCCGUGCUUGAGGACUGGAGAGGAGACUGGAAUUUACGGUGUAGCGGUGAAAUGCGUAGAUAUCGUAAGGAAGACCAGUGGCGAAGGCGGGUCUCUGGACAGUUCCUGACGCUGAGGCACGAAGGCCAGGGGAGCAAACGGG
This 253-nucleotide ribosomal RNA is filed under the name uncultured bacterium. RNAcentral describes it as "partial 16S ribosomal RNA". It matches the Rfam family "Bacterial small subunit ribosomal RNA", at positions 524 to 776 of the family's 1533-position model. The record is from RNAcentral.